This 20-nucleotide microRNA is filed under the name Callorhinchus milii (elephant shark). RNAcentral's name for it is "eshark_NOVEL_172". Lineage: Eukaryota; Metazoa; Chordata; Chondrichthyes; Chimaeriformes; Callorhinchidae. The record is from RNAcentral.
UGGAAAAACACAGUACUAGC